Molecule: ribosomal RNA, 1345 nt
Filed under: uncultured bacterium
Lineage: Bacteria
Description: bacterial SSU rRNA
Rfam family: Bacterial small subunit ribosomal RNA
Source: RNAcentral
GAUGAACGCUAGCGGGAGGCCUAACACAUGCAAGCCGAGCGGUAGAGAUCUUUCGGGAUCUUGAGAGCGGCGUACGGGUGCGGAACACGUGUGCAACCUGCCUUUAUCUGGGGGAUAGCCUUUCGAAAGGAAGAUUAAUACCCCAUAAUAUGUUGGAUGGCAUCAUUCGACAUUGAAAACUCCGGUGGAUAGAGAUGGGCACGCGCAAGAUUAGAUAGUUGGUGAGGUAACGGCUCACCAAGUCUGCGAUCUUUAGGGGGCCUGAGAGGGUGAUCCCCCACACUGGUACUGAGACACGGACCAGACUCCUACGGGAGGCAGCAGUGAGGAAUAUUGGACAAUGGGUGAGAGCCUGAUCCAGCCAUCCCGCGUGAAGGACGACGGCCCUAUGGGUUGUAAACUUCUUUUGUAUAGGGAUAAACCUACUCUCGUGAGAGUAGCUGAAGGUACUAUACGAAUAAGCACCGGCUAACUCCGUGCCAGCAGCCGCGGUAAUACGGAGGGUGCAAGCGUUAUCCGGAUUUAUUGGGUUUAAAGGGUCCGUAGGCGGAUCUGUAAGUCAGUGGUGAAAUCUCACAGCUUAACUGUGAAACUGCCAUUGAUACUGCAGGUCUUGAGUGUUGUUGAAGUAGCUGGAAUAAGUAGUGUAGCGGUGAAAUGCAUAGAUAUUACUUAGAACACCAAUUGCGAAGGCAGGUUACUAAGCAACAACUGACGCUGAUGGACGAAAGCGUGGGGAGCGAACAGGAUUAGAUACCCUGGUAGUCCACGCCGUAAACGAUGCUAACUCGUUUUUGGGCUUUCGGGUUCAGAGACUAAGCGAAAGUGAUAAGUUAGCCACCUGGGGAGUACGAACGCAAGUUUGAAACUCAAAGGAAUUGACGGGGGCCCGCACAAGCGGUGGAUUAUGUGGUUUAAUUCGAUGAUACGCGAGGAACCUUACCAAGGCUUAAAUGGGAAAUGACAGGUUUAGAAAUAGACUUUUCUUCGGACAUUUUUCAAGGUGCUGCAUGGUUGUCGUCAGCUCGUGCCGUGAGGUGUUAGGUUAAGUCCUGCAACGAGCGCAACCCCUGUCACUAGUUGCCAUCAUUAAGUUGGGGACUCUAGUGAGACUGCCUACGCAAGUAGAGAGGAAGGUGGGGAUGACGUCAAAUCAUCACGGCCCUUACGCCUUGGGCCACACACGUAAUACAAUGGCCGGUACAGAGGGCAGCUACACAGCGAUGUGAUGCAAAUCUCGAAAGCCGGUCUCAGUUCGGAUUGGAGUCUGCAACUCGACUCUAUGAAGCUGGAAUCGCUAGUAAUCGCGCAUCAGCCAUGGCGCGGUGAAUACGUUCCCGGGCCU